RNAcentral lists this unclassified non-coding RNA (353 nucleotides) under uncultured Rhizaria. RNAcentral's name for it is "sequence contains 5.8S rRNA gene, ITS2, 28S rRNA gene". The record is from RNAcentral.
AACGCAAAUUGCGCUCUCGGGAUAGGCCUGGGAGCACGCCUCUUUGAGUAUCGUUUCAACCACAACUCGAAAGCGUGCUAAUUGCACUGCUGACGGAGAAUGAGCGUUCUCGUGAAAGCGAGUCGCUUUAAAAUGAGCGAGUGACUAGACAGUUGUCGAAAGAUAAACUCUUGUCUGCUGUGACGAGGAUAACUUCACAUUCAUUUGUGAACCCUUCCAUCGUGACGUGCAGAUUGAGAGCUGUCUGAGGCGGCUGUCAUCUGUCACAGAACUCUUGCAUCGUCUGCUAUGACGGUCGCAGAACUUCUCUUGAACUAGAUCUCAAAUGAAGCGAGAAAACCCGCUGAACUUAA